Long non-coding RNA from Mus musculus (house mouse), 6003 nucleotides. RefSeq annotates it as RIKEN cDNA 1700001L05 gene. The record is from RefSeq and is marked validated. Lineage: Eukaryota; Metazoa; Chordata; Mammalia; Rodentia; Muridae. The transcript is spliced from 4 exons.
UGUGAGCGCGCGCCCACGGCAGUUGGUCUCUGAGGCGGCGGCGGUAACAGUUAAUCUCAGGAGGUCCUGCUCGGUCCGGGCGCCAUGCCUCUGGAUCGUCAGGUGGCCAUGGGGAACCUUGGCAAUCAGGACAUACUGGCCAUCUUCUACCGCCUGCGCUUCGUGCUUAGCAACCACAUAGAGGCCGCCUGGCGAGCCCGGAACCCGGCAAUGGACGUGGGAGGAGGAGGAGAAGGCGCCCGGUUGGUCAACGGUCGUAUUCGCCCACGCGGGUUCUGAGUGACUUGGAGCACUGCUCGCCCUCGCCCAAUGCCUGGCAUAGGAUAUGACUGUCAAUAUUUAGCUCAACAAGAAGACAUGGCAUUUACACACAAAAGGAAGACAUGAUUCAUUGGUUUUAAGUAAAUACAACAUAAUGCAUCCUAAAAGUGCCUGGACUCUAGGGCUGACUGAUGGAGGACCCACCAUGACCCAUUAAUCCCCUAAUAAUUAACACAUGGAAUGGGGUACCAGUGAUGAAAAAUGACCACAAUUAACUCCCUUUCAAGACUCAUUCCCAGAUAUCUGAUCCGACCAAAACUGGGAUCUCUGGGUCCUUAAUUAACAGUGAAACAUCCUCUCAUUCUCUUGGUUCUGCUUCUGUUGAGAGGCCCUGCUUAAAUCACUUUCUUCAGCUCGUUGAAAGCAGCAGGACAAAAAAGCACUGCUACUACCACAAAGGAAGCUGGGCCACUUACCUUUGAAGAUGGCUUGCACACCUCAUCUUUAAGUCUUUCCCUAAGAAUGGAUGGUGUGUUUUGACUGCAGUGCUAAAAGUCAGAGCUGAGCAAAUAUAACCUACAGAAUAUUUCUUUUCAUCAGUUGCUUGGAGUCACAUAGUGGUCACUAAAGUUUUACCUGUACGUCAAUGACCCCAUGAAGUUAAGAGACAGUUAUUUUCAUAGCUGGGAUGAUAGUGCCAACUGCUACUAGAAAGAGGAUGAGACACUUAGACCACUGUGACAAAGCACAAGCUCUUCAGGCAAAUGUAAGCUACAGGACCAGGAAGCCAGAACUACAGACUGAAGUGCCUUCUGCACCCUCCUUUCCAGCAUUCAGUUCACAUGCAGAGUGGCUGGCCGGUGAUGUGUGCAGUAUGUAGAAAGGCAGGUAGGGCCAGGACAUAAGUGAGCCACACUUGGUCUGCUACUGCCUGGCCUACAGCCAAGCAGGGCUGGGCAGGAGCCAUCAGGAGCUUUGAUGCUCUGCUCCAGCUUUCAGAUGGAAAAGGAAGUGGAUUGCUCUCUGGGUCCCUCCUGAUGUAGGCACACUGUCUCACUGUUCUGGUCUCCCCAGGACCUUCAGCCACCAAACUGUCAAGGUCAAUCAGGCAGCAGGGAUGAGAAGGCUUCAUGAAGAGGUCUACCAAGCACUGUUCUGGGUGCAGAAGACAUGCGGCCUGGGCGGUGCUGCAUCAGCCCAGAUGGAUUUCUAGAGUGCUGGGUCUGGCCAGGGCUGGCUGUGGCACCAGAAGAGAGAGACAGUGCCAGACCCAUUUGGAGCUGAGAGCAUCGAGCCCACCCUGCCCGCCCUGCUCAAGCCUUCCAUGGCUGUGUUGUGAAUGUGGUAUGAAAAACUCUGAAAAGGCCCAGGUGCUUCUCCAAACUGCUGGACCAUUUGGACACCUGCUCCACACUGAGAUGUGUUCUAACGAAGUUCUUCUAGGACUUCUCAUAGUUUUCCUCAUUCUAGGUUAAAAUUGGCACAUAACAGGUUUGUUCCCAUCUUCUCCUGUUCACCACACAUGCCCUGUAAUUUUUCUUUCCUCCCUAGGUUUCAAAUGUGGGAGCAAGAGUUUUCAGAGCCUACGUUCGCCAUGUUCAGGUCCAGUCCCUGUGCUUCUCCAUGGCCCAUCAUUCUCCCUGUGUCUGCUCUGCCUCUCACUGGAUAGAUGUAGGUGAGAGAUGUGCACCCCAGUACUCACUGUUUUGGGUCCCAAGUAUACAUCUACAUUGAUGGCAAAGCUAUGAGCGUAGCUGCCCCUUCCUCAUUCACCACAUGCCUGUGUUCAUUUUGUCAUUGGUGAGCACUGUGCUGUGCAACCUUCUAGCCUAGAUCUGGCCCCAGCAUCCUGAAGCAUAUGAGGCACCUUAGAGAAAAGGUCUAAAUGGGCCUUAUAAGAAAAUGAGAAUACUUUCUGUUGCAUUGUGUUUUGAGUCUUAAGUUACAGGCACAAAGCUGCAUGAAUUAAACAUUCCUAAAGUCUGUCUACUCAGCCUCUUACACUAGUCUGUCCACAGGAAAGGCAUUGAAAUAAAAGGAAAGAUGAAGAGCAAUACAGUCCAGCUUAAGUCUCUGAUGUGAUGUAUUAAAUCCCUAGGAUGUGGUGAAAGUGAACGCUGACAGGUAUCCUUAGGCUCAGAGACCACAACCACCCAGACUUGAGUACUUUGUCCCCCUACCAUUGCUUUCCUGCUUCUAGACAGUUUUGUUUGGUGACGAGUUUCUUGGGAGUAAGGGGCAGCUGACUUCUAGUGGGAACACCAAUUAUAGGACUUUCCAUGUAAGUCUCUAACAGUUGAUGGGUCUUUAGGAUGCAUGUGAGAAGCACUGCUGUGGCAGGUACCAUGCCAAUGUUCAGCCUGUGAUUAACCUUCAGAGUGUCCAUUAGCAUGUAGCCACUUCAGUGUUCAAUCUACAGCCUCUCCGGUGGAGGUACAUUAGACCCGCUCUUCCUUGGCCUCUCUGGAGCUGGCCGGCUUUUCUUGUUUGUACAGUGUACAGUGCACUCUUCUGCUUCUACCUACAAGUAGAGUGAGUGUGAGUGGCCAUGCUGCUGAAAGUGGCCUUCAUGCAGAAGACUUCCAUUUUCAGAUUUUUGUUCUGAGGACUUUGGGCUUUCUGAAAGCUCUGAGCUAUUUCAUUUCCUCAAAACCUCCCAUAGCUGGGUUAAAUGCUUUUAUUGCUGCCUCCUGUGUUGAUGUGUGUACUGUCAAGAUUUGGAAGCAGAUAUAAAAUGUGAGUACACUCUCACUACAAGUAGUCAUCAGAAAAAGACCUCCUUUGGUCAUUCUUCACAGCUCAUUUCUUCCUGGUUUAUACUAUAAUGUUGCUUUUGAAUAGUUUCCUUGCUACUUAGCAAAAAGCUAAGGACCUCACUUGCCGAGUAACUGUCCAUCUGCCAGACCUUCCUUGAGUGGCUUGUCUGCCUCUUGUUGCUUUACCGGGCUAGUUGCUCCCAUGCUCACCCUGUGUUGCCAGACAGCAAGCUUUCCUGCUUUUGUUACCAACAGAGACAAGUCAACAGCCUGGAGAUUCUCUGUGUACAACUCCAGGCCAAGUACUGACAGAGACUACCUGGUAGAUUUAGAGAGUGAUACAGACUUAACAAAACGCAGCUCUGAGGGUACAGGGAGAGCUUCCCAUAGUUGGUGGCAUUGAACUAAAGCCUUUUGUUUGCGUGUUGUCAUAUACAAGCAUAUCGCUCCUUUCCAGUUAGCCCACUUACUGAGUGCCCGUCUUUUGCCAGGCAGCAUGCUUAUGUCUCAACUUUCGAGUAUUGCCAGUUCCCUAGCAAGUAGGAAUAACUGUCCCCAUUUCACAGAUGAGGAAACUGAAGCUUAGGGUAGUCACAGCAUCUGAAGAAGUCCUACAUCUCAGUAGCUGGGCUGAGCUUUUUGUAUAAUCCUGGUAGGGACAGUCUGAAUGUCAAAAGCUGAUUCUUAACCUGCUUUGUCAAGAGUAUGUUGAGUAUUGACUGCCAUUUUUCCCCCUCACAUUUAGGAUGCAAAUCAAAAUACCCAGAGACCAUCCUUUCAGCUGUGGACUUUAUAGGCACAGGCAUUAACACUGAAGGUCCCCUGGGAAAGAAAGGGGCUCUGUUCUCAUCUUUUUUUUUCUUUCGUGGUCUUUACCAGGUUAGCUUUUUGUUUUGUUUUGCCUUUUUUUUUUUUUUAAUCGUUUUAACUGUUUGCUUGGCUAACCAUUGAGUAUUUCUCUCUGCUUGUUCUUAAUCUGAAGCAGCAGUUCGGAGCUGCUAACAAGAAGAAAGCUACACGCUGCCAUUUGUGAUUGGUAUCUGCAUGAGCAAAAGACCCCCCCCCCCCAAGCAAUUGCUGACAUCUUUGAUGGCCACCAAGGGAACUUAGAGGGCCUGAAGUAGAGGAUCAGCCCUGGUGAUGGUUCAUGUAAAUCUGCUUGUGUGGUUGCCUGAAUCUUAGCUGCUUUGUCAGCCAUUUCUAGUAGACUGGCUCUUGAUGGUUUGUGCUGUGCACCCCUGCCCACCAUAAUGCAAUCUUCUCUGCUUGUCUGCCUUGGGGACAGUUGAUAUAAUCUGCCUUUGUAGUUCAGCCUUAACUUCUAUGUUACUCAUAUCCAGUAGGUUCUCUUUUGACAAUUUGCAGUGUGCACCCCUGCCCACCAUAAUGCAACCCUCUCUGCUUCUCUGCCCUGUAUUCUGGUCUGGUCACUCACUGACUGUCAUGAGAUAUGAUGGCCCCCGCUAGAUCUUCUCUUGGGACUGUAGACUGGUUGCAGCACUGUAACAGGCUUUAGGCUUUGUCUUUGGUUCAGAAAUGCAUUUGUUUGAGACUGCUGACUAGUUACGAAAUUCCAGUAGACUCUGACUUCAGAAAAUUUCAUUUGAGCUGGUCUGGUGGCUCGUGUCUAAAAUCCUAGCACUCAGGAGGCUGAAGUAUUAGCAUUGUCAUGUUGCAGUCAACCUGAGCUAACAUAGUUCCAGACCAGCUUGGGCUACAAAGCGACAUCCUGUCUCCAAAAAUAUAAUGAAAAGUUGGGGGUGUGGAAGAGGAAGAGACCAUGGAUAGGGCAGAUACUCGCACCUGUAUUGUGCCUUGUCCAUUUCUGAAAUCCUCUGGGAUCUAUGUUCAUUUCUGAUACUCGGAAUUUGGCACAGCUCUGCUUUGUGAGCACCUAUAAUUCUAGUUCUCACACCCAUGGUACCUAUGCCUGGUACCAUUAGCACUUCAGGAAUGCCAUAAAGAGCAUCUCUGAGGGCCCUGAGGUUCCAGCUGCCUCUCAUGUUAACAAGUUACAUCCUUUUCAGGCUCCUAGUUAAAGAGUAGGCCUGGAAAUCACCCCAUGGGCAUCUGAGUGUUAAUUAAGGGUCAUUCAUAUUCAAGAGGUUCAAGAAAAUGACUUGCUGCAAUGCAUAAAUAUGAAUUAGAUUAGAAGAACAGUUGGCUGGACAUUGGGAUUUGAGUUACUAGUUAAAACUAUGUGUAAAAGGAAAAAGACUCUUAUCUAAUCUUUUGUGAAAUUAUUCCAGACCCUCAUCUGAGACUCCCAACUAAGCCCCUGGGCCUACAGACCCUGUGAUCCAGACAGCUGAGGGAAGGACUAGACCCUGGGCAGAAGAAAGAAAGGAUAGAUAAAAGCCAGUACCUUGUGGCAACCACCUCAGGGUAAUUCAAAAAUGCCCCCAAAAUUGAUCUAACAAGAACCAGGGCACCUUUCUCAGAACUAGUGUAUAUUUGGCCAAAAGGAAGGGUACUAGGAACAUGACUGCUUUGUAAAGGGCCAGCCAGACAGCAGCCCCAGCCCCAGUGUGGCUGUGGUCUCCAGAUAGGUAGUAGUAGCCUCUGGAUCAAGGAAGCCCAGGGACUUGAAUGUCAUCAGUGGAACUUUGUGUGACACUUCCGGUAGGUGGUCAUGGUUAUCACAUUUGGGUAUGAAAUAUCACCCCAAAGCACUGAUAGGUUGAAGGUUCCUCAGCAAGUGCUACUGUUGAAGAAUUAUUGUAUCAUAAGGGUGAUGACAUCAGAGGUUUAAUCCACUGAUUAUUUCAUAGUUUGACAGUUAGCUCAUCGGGCCUAUUUGUAGGAUGUGGGACACUGAAAGACUGUAUCUUGCCCUCAACCCAGUCUCCAUUCUAUCAUGAGGGAAGCACUCUUCUUUGCCAAGUGUUUCUUUCUGUGGUGUUCAGUUUUGCCUCAGGCCUACAGCCAUAAGGCCAAAGAACCACGGAACAAAGCCAUGAGCCAAAAUAAAUCUUUAUUCAUUUCA